GUUGUAGGUUGGGUGAGGAUGGAGGUUGUAGGUUGGGUGAGGGUGGAGGUUGUAGGCUGGGUGAGGGUGGAGGUUGUAGGUAGGGUGAGGGUGGAGGUUGUAGGCUGAGUGAGGGUGGAGGUUGUAGGUUGGGUGAGGAUGGAGGUUGUAGGUUGGGUGAGGUUGUAGAUUAUAGGCUGAGUGAGGGUGGAGGUUGUAGAUUGGGUGAGGGUGAAGGUUGUUGACUGGGUAAGGGUAGAGGUUGUAGGUUGUGUGAGGAUGGAGAUUGUUGGCUGGAUGAGGGUGGAGGUUGUAGGUUGGGUGAGGUUGGAGGUUGUAGGCUGGGUGAGGGUGGAGGUUGUAGGUUGGGUGAGGUUGUAGAUUAUAGGCUGAGUGAGGGUGGAGGUUGUUGUCUGGGUGAGGGUGGAG
This 408-nucleotide long non-coding RNA is filed under the name Homo sapiens (human). RNAcentral's name for it is "HSALNT0116997". Lineage: Eukaryota; Metazoa; Chordata; Mammalia; Primates; Hominidae. The record is from RNAcentral.